CCCCCCCCCAAAAAAAAAAAGAAAAGAAAAAGUUAAAAAGUAACAGAAGAAACGAAAAAAAAAAAAAAACCAAAACAACACAACAAACCAAAAAACAUAGUUUCUCUCAUCCACUAGAAGUGUUUAUCAGUAAUUUCAUAGUUUCGAAAAACCACCGUAUCACCGUUUCCUCUAAUAAACGGGCGCAAAAAACAUUCUCGGGUUUUCGGGUUACGCAUGUGCUUUUGUUCGCCCCCUGUCGUCGCCGUUAUUGUUAUAGUUGAAGUUUUUCUCUUGUUUUCAUCGUGAAAACAAGUUUACGAACAUUGUUAAACGACCCUAACACUUUCUGUUUUUGUUUUUGGAGUACCACUUUAUCUACAGAAAAGUUUUUAAAAAACCCAAAACAUUUGAACAGUACAAGUAAAUCUAUCAAUCUAUCUAUCUAUCUAUCUAUCUAUCUAUCUAUCUAUCUAUCUAUCUAUCUAUCUAUCUAUCUAUCUUUCUGUCUGUCUGUCUAUCUGUUUGCUUCUGUCUCCCUGUAUAGAUAUAUAGAUUGAUAGAUAUACAUACACAUAUUUAAGGAUGCAUCGCGGUGAAAAAUAUGAACUGUCUCCAUCCGAUUCUGGUCCGGCACCAAGUCAAAGG
RNAcentral lists this long non-coding RNA (627 nucleotides) under Octopus vulgaris (common octopus). Lineage: Eukaryota; Metazoa; Mollusca; Cephalopoda; Octopoda; Octopodidae. The record is from RNAcentral.